RNAcentral lists this ribosomal RNA (528 nucleotides) under uncultured bacterium. RNAcentral's name for it is "bacterial SSU rRNA". It matches the Rfam family "Bacterial small subunit ribosomal RNA", at positions 358 to 896 of the family's 1533-position model. The record is from RNAcentral.
GGAAUAUUGCACAAUGGGCGCAAGCCUGAUGCAGCGACGCCGCGUGAGGGAUGAAGGCCUUCGGGUUGUAAACCUCUUUCAGUAGGGAAGAAGCGAAAGUGACGGUACCUGCAGAAGAAGCGCCGGCUAACUACGUGCCAGCAGCCGCGGUAAUACGUAGGGCGCAAGCGUUGUCCGGAAUUAUUGGGCGUAAAGAGCUCGUAGGCGGUUUGUCGCGUCUGGUGUGAAAUCCCAUGGCUCAACUGUGGGCUUGCAUCGGGUACGGGCAGACUAGAGUACUGUAGGGGAGACUGGAAUUCCUGGUGUAGCGGUGGAAUGCGCAGAUAUCAGGAGGAACACCGAUGGCGAAGGCAGGUCUCUGGGCAGUUACUGACGCUGAGGAGCGAAAGCAUGGGGAGCGAACAGGAUUAGAUACCCUGGUAGUCCAUGCCGUAAACGUUGGGCACUAGGUGUGGGGCGGGUUCCACUCGUUCUGUGCCGUAGCUAACGCAUUAAGUGCCCCGCCUGGGGAGUACGGCCGCAAGGCUA